CGCUCCGGCUUGGCCCCCGCGGUGGGCGGGCGCCCGGCUGCUGCUCCGCCCGCGCGCAAGGGAGAGCUAUUUCGGGAGCGCCGGGCGAGCCAAAGAUAGCGCGGGCGGGAAGUAUUUAUAGCGCGGCGCCGCCGCCGCCGCCGCUUUUCCGGGGCGGGGAGAGGAAAAUGCGAGCCGGAGCCUCUGCCCCCGGGGCGAGAGCCGGAGCAGGGAUUCCCCGCGCGGGCGGGGCAGGGCGGAGACGCCGGGGCUGCCCCGGGCCAGCCUGACGCAAUGGCGAGCGGACGGGGAUCUCCCUGCCGGGGCGGGGACUCCGCCCGGAGCCGCGAGGCUUGGUGCCGCGCAUUGCCCGGAGGGGGCCGCUGCCCUCUCGCCAAGGAAAAGGGACGAAGCCGCCGAGUCCAGAAAGCUGGAGCGGGACCAAACAACCUCCGGCCCCCUCCGGGCACUUGCUCGGGCGCACCUGGGUGCAGCGCUGGAACGGCUGAUCCGCAAUCGGUGGAGACGCGUGUGCGGACGUGAGGAUGUGCCGUGCACGUGCACGCAGAAGAAAGCUUCCCUGAAGUCACAGGGGAUUGGCUCCCUAAUAAAUACCCGUAGAAUUGCAGCCCGACCCUACCUGUGUUUACUCGGAAGUAAGCCCCAUUGACUUCUAUUGGAUUUGCUCUCAGGCCCAGAAGAGAGACCAUUCCCCACAACUUCUGUCGCUGAUUGCCAGCCACACUCUGAAUGAAAGGCAAGUUGGAGGGCUAGGAGAAGUCACGUGGGAGGGGCCCGUUCUCCUUCAAUGUGAUGAGGCUGAGCGCUGAUACUGAAAAUCCAUGCUGAGCCCUGACACAAAUUAAGCCCAAGAAACAAUGAGGAAAUGUAACAGGGAAGAGCAACUCAAAGGCAAGUUGGAGGCACUCUCUGUGAACUGGUUGUCUGUAUAUUGGAUUCAUUGCUUUUUCUCAAACGGGACAGUCAAGUAUCUGGGUUGCUGCCUGAUUCAGCGGACAACUGCUUAGAAGCCACUUUGGCAAGUAAGCAGCAUGUAAAUAAAUAAGGUGUGAACAAUGGACUCAAAA
Long non-coding RNA from Podarcis raffonei (Aeolian wall lizard), 1067 nucleotides. RefSeq lists it as uncharacterized. Lineage: Eukaryota; Metazoa; Chordata; Lepidosauria; Squamata; Lacertidae. The record is from RefSeq and is a predicted model, not a curated record. The transcript is spliced from 4 exons.